Pteropus alecto (black flying fox) is the source of this 14343-nucleotide long non-coding RNA. RefSeq lists it as uncharacterized. Lineage: Eukaryota; Metazoa; Chordata; Mammalia; Chiroptera; Pteropodidae. The record is from RefSeq and is a predicted model, not a curated record. The transcript is spliced from 4 exons.
GUGCUAAUGAGGCUGGGGUGGGGGAGUGGGCGGUGGGCGGUGGGCCGCCGAGCUGGGGCAGGUCGGGGUGGGGGGCCCCCUCCGGGAAGGCCUGGGAGCCCUCCGCCCUGGCCGCCUCCCCCAUCAGACUGGGAGUGCGUCUGAUUGGGCAGCCAGGAGGCGGUGGUCCUUCUCCCCGCCCCGCUGGGGGGUGGUGUCUUCCGGGAAGUCGGGGUCCUACCCGGGGAGUGAGUGAGGGGGCUGCCUAGGGCCCUGGGCCCCAUCCCGACUUGCCUCCUGCAAAGGCCCACCCGGUCCCCACCCAUACUCCUCCGCCUUUCCCUUCUUGGUGUCUGUUUUCCAACCCAUCUCGGCUUCCUUUCUUUCUUCACCGGAGAGUCCCCCGGAUUUUGUUUCCUGCCCCACCUGGGGAGGGCAUCCUGGCACCUCAGACUUGUCCUAGGUUCCUACAGAGAGGAAAAAAAAAACCGGCAGCCCUGGAGGGAUGUUGUGUUUUCAAUAAACCUCAGUUUCUUCAUCUGUAAAAUGGGGGUGACGAUAAUGGGCCCGCCUGAGCAUUUGGCAGACGGAUCGGGCCCAGUCUCGCAUCUUGAUUCUCUCACCUGAGCCAGGAGUCAGGAGAUGUGGGCUUUGGUCCCAGCCAGGAAUUGGCGCUUUCUUUCUUAGAACUGAUCUCCCCACCACAUGUGAGUUGGGAACGAGAGCUCCUGCCUCCUGCCAUCUGACCUCUGUGGGGGAGGGGCUGUGGGUACCAAGUGAGAUGGUGUAGGUCAGCGGUCCCCAAUCUUUCUGGCCCCAGGGACCGGUGCUCCUAUGAGAAUCUAACGCCUGAUGAUCUGAGGUGGAGCUGAGGCGGUGAUGCUGGCGCUGGGGAGCGGCUGCACAUACCGAUGAAGCUUCGCUCGCUGGCCGGCAGCUCACCAGUGGCCUGGUUCCUAACAGGCUACGGACCAGUACCAGUCUGUGGCCCGGGAGUUGGGGGCCCCCUGGUAUAGGUGAUGGUGCUUGGUAAACUGCGCCCGUUGGGGGAGCUGGGAGAGCUUAUAGCUCUUUGAACCCGCCUCUCUCUCCCUUCUGGGCCUUUGCCCAAGCCGUGGCCUCUGCCUGGGUCUCCUUUCCUCCCUCUGACUCCAGCCCUUCCCCUCGGGGCCUCUUCCCCUGGAAGCCCUCCCUGACGCCCAGCAGGUCCUCUCCUGGGUGUCUCACCUCAUGAUCAGACCCCGAUGAUCUGCCUCACUCGCAGGACUGUGAGCCCCGUGAGGGCAGGAAUGACACACCUGGCAAGGGCCUGGCCCGACGUCCAGGUAUCUGAUGCGGAGCCUGUGGCCCCGGGAGCCAGAAGGAGGCAGAACCACGCGGCCCGGCUUCAGGCAGGCGGCGGCCUCGGCCGUCUUUUCCCAGUGCGUCGGAGGGCCCUGGAUGCCUGGGGACAUCUGGAUGCCUGGGGAACAUCUGGCCCUGCCCUCUGAGCACUGACAUUUUGAGGUGACACUGCCCCGGGUGUGCUUGCUUUUCUGCCUGGGCCCGGCCCUUUCCCUGUGUUCAGUGGGGCAGUGGGGGAAUGGCCCCUGGGUGCUACGAUCUAGAAAGUUCUAAUAACUCAUCGAAGGCAGUGCUGUUGUUAUCCACAUUUUGCAGAUGAGGAAACUGAGGCAAAGAGUGGGUAAGCAACAGUGUCCUGUCUCCUGAGGCCAGGCCCAGCAGCCCCUGCAUCUCCGAGGAGGAUAAAAGGGAGGUGAUGGGAAGGGAGACGUUUCUGGAGCAGCUGCCAUGAGACCUCGCGGGCAGAUAAAUUGGCAGAGUCUUGAGAACGCUUUCAUGUGCGGUGUGCAAAGGCGGCCUCUUUGGUGUCUGUCUGAGAGAUCAGGAAGAUUUAAACUGCUUUCUGAUGGUUUGGGGAUGUCAGACUGGUGUUUCUUUUGCAUGUGACAUGGCGAUGAGACUGGGCCCCAAGGCAGCCCAGUUUUAUUCAGGUUUCAGUCAUAACGAUAGCAACAGCAGUAACAAAAGCAGUCUUCCCGGACUGAGUGCUCGCCAUGUGCUCCACGCUGGGCUCGGCCUUGACUUGGGUGCACACUCUGAGCCCUCACCGCCAGCCUGAGGUAGAGGUUAUGCUUGUCCCCAUGUCAUUCCCUGACAGCUGGCAUCCGAAUCUGUUAGUCGCCACCUUCGGUCUCCCCUGUUAAGCAGUGAGCUUGGUGAAGGUCCCAGUCUGGUCUCUCCCAUUCAUUGCUGGGUCCCCGGCACCCAGUACCAGUUCCGCAAGGAAGAGCUGGACAAUAAAGCUUUGCUGGACACAGUUCAGAUGAAGAGACUGAGGGUCAGAGAGGUCCCCCCAGGUUUCUGGAGAGCUCAGAUUCUAAUUACCAUCUCACACGGAUCCUUGAGAGACCUUCUCUGAGACCUCCCCCCACCUCAAGAAAGGCAUGGAGCAUGACUCCCCUUACCCCCGCCCCACCCACCUUUCUCAGGCCUUGUGCUAAGACCUGAUAGCUUCUGAACUGAAUCCGCCCCCUCCCUACCGCUUCUUGCUUGCGAGGCACAUGGAUGGAAGUUGGCCAGAGCUGGCUCGGUCUUGGGGAAGCUGCGCUCUCCGGAGUUGCCCAGCUGUUUCGUGUGCCCUGAUUCAAAUUUUCCUUCCUUGUCACAUUGGUUCCCAUUCAGAGAAGUCUUUGAAGUGGAUAUGACUUUACUAUGUGAUUUCUGACCUGAUUAAUUCAUACGUGCAGUUAUUUGAUCACUAUUUCUUAUCUCUGUGGUGGUUCCAGUGGUUUAAGCAAUGGUUUUCGGCUGGGAUUGUAAACAAGAGACACUGAUGGUUAAGUGUCUGACUCUACCACUCAGUAACCUUGGAAACCUCAUGUGACCUCUCUGAGCCUUGGAUUUCUCAUCUGUAAAAUGGGGACAUGCAGGGAAAAGUACCUAUCUUGAUGCCUGGUCCUAGGUGGGGAGAAAGAGGUCGAGCUGUCUCUUUUUUUAAAAAAUCGCAUUUUCCACAAAUAAUAUACAAUUCUUAACCCUAUACUUUUAAGAAAUGUUGGUUUAAAAAAAGAAAAUCUGAACAACGAACCGUACCUGAGCGCCAGACGCGAGCCCAGCGUUGUAUUGGGUCCCUGGAAGGCAGGGUGGUCAGACCCCACUCGUGGGCGUGUCUCGUGAGAAACUCUUCACCUGCUCAGGUCGUCCUCACGCAAAGGUGCAGCUGACUGGGCUCGCCAUUUCCCAGGCGAGGAAAACGAGGCACAGAGAGGGGAAGUGACUUGCUUAGGGUUCCACAGGGAGACACUGACGAGCCUGGCUUUGGACCUGGGUGCAGAUCGGAGGCUGCUUCCAGCUGGGGCUCAGCUUCUUGGUGGGGGAAACACGUCGUCUGGACUUUGAGUCCUGACUUCAGGGCACAAAGAGGAGCCAGGGGUAGUCCCUGCCCUGCGUCUCCUAGGAGAGGGGGGGACACAGCGACAGAGCAGUGAAAACACUGGUGGUUACACAGACCAGUGGUGUAACGGGGGCACCCAAGGCUGUGUGACGGACCCACCCCAUAAAGAAUUGCUGGAAAGACCCCACAGGGCCUUGCUUUAAAAAACCCCCCUAAUCGGUGCGUGAGAUCAGCGUUCUAGACCUUCUGCUGUGGCUGAUGGAUGGAUGGUACAUUCUUUAUACCUUGAAAUGGACUCCUCUUGGCUUGUGUUUGAAGUGCACUUGGCUUGUCCCUCCCUGUGGUGUUCUAGCCCAUGGCAUGAGGCUUCCGGCCUGUAGUCUGCAGCUCCUGCUGCUCAGACACAUGAGAAUCAUUUUUAAGAAGCAACUGUACCCCUCCCCUGCAACCCUGUGGCCAGAAGUGACUUCAAGUCCCAGAUGGAAGGAUGCCUUCAGUAGGCAUAAGCUCUGGAGUCCCCACCACCACCAAGAUGUCUCUAGAUGGAGACAGUGUGUCCGGGUGAUGCUGUGAGGUGAAGUCAGUUGAUCGCGGGCCCCGGGCCUGCAUAGGACCUCGAGCCACCGCCACUGAUCUCUGUGCUCUCCCCACCAGACCUCCAAGGCGGCAGACCUCCUGGGGGUGUGGGGGCGGGGCUCCGCAAGGAGGGGCGGGGCUCCGGGGCUCCUCCCAAGGGGAUCCAGAGAAGCCCAGGAGGCCUCACAGGCACAUUCGGCCACGCCCAAGGUGAGAAGGAAGGUGCGGAGCCCAAUGGGAGCCGCAGGGAGAGGCCCACACCUGUCUUGUAGCUUUCUGCAGAAAUUCGUUUGUCUGGGGCUGGCUUCCUCCAGGCUCGCCUGCAGACCUGCAAACAAGAGCCCACACGUCGUCCUCAAGGUCAGCUUCCGCAGAGAAUGUGAAGUGAAGAGCAUCUGGUGGAGACCUGGGCCGGGGCCGCGGUCUGCCCCUCACGUCAUUGCCUCCCACGGGGGGCUGCCUCUGCACCCCCAGCACCGGCAGGGCUGGGUGGGGGUGGGGAAGCGCUCGCUUCGUUUUAAAGAAAAUAUAACGAAGCGGUGCCACUGCUGAAAAAUAAUUGAGACAAAUGCCCUCCGUUCAGUAACUCAAGUUUCUAAAUGAACGUCUCUCCACGUUCCUACCAGAAAAGGCCCCCUGCUGUUUUCGGCCCCCAGGCCUGUGUUUGCCCAACAUGCAAACUGCAUCCGUUGAGUAAUAGACUCGUUCCCAUUUGGGGUCAAUCAAGGGCAACGCUGAUGCCUGCUCAGCUCCCACCAGCCCGGAGAGUCUGACGGGCACAGUGGGUUGACAGAAUCCCAGCCAAAGCAAGGCAGCGCGAUGUCCUACGCAGGCCCUCGGUAAAGGCGCAGCGGCCAUCAUGGAUUUCAAAAGACUGUAAACAGCAUGGAGCCCCUCAGGGAAACCCAGACUGGGAACCACUGGGCUAAGCCAGUGAGGAUGGGGGUGCAGCUCGCUGACAGUCCCCACAGCCACCCAUUUCCCCAUCAAGGAAGUCCUCGAGCAGCAGUGGCUGUGGGGUCAGCCUGACUCUGCCAUUUGCCAGCUGUGUGACCUUGGGUGGAUGGCUUCCUCUCUCUGAACCUCCCUCCGGGGCGUGAGUGUGCCGUAAGGACUGGGUGUCAUUAUCGUCACUACCUCUUGUUCGGGUCUCCUGCCCUCCACUCUGCCGUGCCCUGAUCAUCUCACUGGCUUUCUAGGGAGCACACGGAACCCCUCUGAGAAGCUGUCUGCGGUGGGACAGAGAACCUGGGAGGGGAGCAAAGACGGGGGGCAUGGCAGCCCAUGAGGGGGCAGGCUGAGAGCGCCUUGAGACUGCAGUUCUGGGGUGCAUCUGAGCAUUCCCCACCUUUAACAUGCCUCAAAUCCCCUGGGAAUUUUGUUUAAAUGCAGAUUCUGAUGCAGAGGGCCGGACUGGGGCUCCCUUAUGAGGAAGAUGCGGGCCAGCCGGGACCACACUCCGAGUAGCAGGGUGCCCACACUGGGACCUCUGGCCUGAGGAGGAGGGCGGGCCACUCGGUGUCUGGAAGUGAUGGCUCUAGACUAGCGUGAGAGCCCCAGAAUGUCCAUGCUGGGAAAGAUGAAGCGACAUGAGGGUAAAAUUAUGUUUUCAACGAAAGAAAAGACCUCUGCUUCCUAUCGAGCAGCAAGAUCUCUGUUCCUGCCCCUGUGCAGCCCCAGGGGCCCGAAAGAAUUUGGUUUUUCUGAGCACAACCUUUCCUUGCUGAAGGGGGUGCAUUUGCUCUUAAAAAGUUGCCUGUAAAACAGAUUUUUCUAUAUCAGACGCUGUUUUCCAGUGGUUCGUGUUUUAAGACCCUGGUUGCAUUCUCACAGAGAAAUAUCCAGCUCCGAGGCACUGGCGUUGGGAAAGCGUGUAGAGAGUUCCGGGGCACAGCAUGGCCCACGUGUUAUGGGUUUUGGAGCUGAUGAGAGCUGGAGCUGGAGUUUGGAAACCAACUCUGAAUCCCAAAUGGGCUGAGAUCCACGGCCAGACACUGGCCCUGAGCCCUGACCGAUAUCACUCACUGAUUGUUAAGACAGGUGGGACCAGAGGGGACCCAGGACAAACCAAUUCCUCAGAUGGAGACAAAGAGCCCAGACGGACCAUCGGUCGUGGUCGGCUGGCCUUCUUGCCUUUGCACAAAAUGCCACGGGCCACACUCUGACCAUCAGGCCGGGAGUAGCUUUGUUUUUACAUGGGGGCACAGUUGUUUAAUGCUCUGGAGAAGCCUGCCGCCAUGACAGUGUGGCUGGUUUUCCCAGGAUGCUCUGAAGCUGUGAUGCUGCUCUUCCCCGGAGACUGCUGAGAGGCGCUGGCUUAGGAGACUCCCGGGUUUCCCAGCCCACCGGGGUCUGCACUGAGAAUCUCAAAUAAGAGGCCGAAGUCCACAGUCUGCCCUUAUUAGAUGGAUCGUCGCUUUCCUGAGCAUAUUCCGGGAUCGGUGUUCCAAGGAACACACUUUGGGAACCCAGACAGUGACAGGCCCUCACAACCAAAAGGUCUCUCUGUUCUUGUAUCAGUUACCUAAUUAGUAAUUAGUUAUCUGCAUAACAAGUCACCCCGAACGAAGUGGCUUAAAACAAUAAGCAUUUUAUUAUCUCAUGGUUUCUGUGGGAAGGGAAUUCCGAAGGGUAUAACUGGCUGGUUCCAGCUUGUGGUCUCUUUGGAGGUGGCAGUCAAGACGUCAGCCGGGAGCUGGGGCCGCAGCCAUCUCAUGGCUUGACUCAGGCUGGAGGACGGACUUCUAAGAAGGUGCACUCACACAGCUGGCCAGACGGCGCUGGCUGUUGGCGGGAGGGCUCGGUUCCUUGCCAUGGGGACUUCUCUGUAGAGUCGCUUGAGUUUGUUCUCAAUACGGCGCUGGCUUCCGCCAGAGGGAGGGAUGCAAGAGAACAAGACUGAAGCCGCAAUGUCCUUUAUGACCUAGCCUCAGACCGCACAUGUGGUCACUUCCACCAUGUCCUAUUGGUGGAAAGGACAGGGCAGGCCUAGUCCUUGUGGGAGGGGCCUACAGAGACAUAAAUGCCAGGAGAUGGGAAUCAUUUGGAGACCACCUUGCAGGCUGACUAGGACGAUAACCAUCACUUCAGUCCAAGGACAGAUAACUGACCUCAUUCACACAGUUGGUUUUCAACCAUUUAGUGCCGGAGAGUAACUCUGAGAAGUGAACCUGCUCACUUGUGAUGCAGAGGGCGGAGGAAGAGACUAGGAAUUUGUCAGCCAUGCCAAAUCCCAGUGAACGACCGCAAGAAUGAUAUUGCAGUCCCAUCUGUCGAGCGCUCACCUGUGCCUGGUGCCUCUCGGGCAUCAUGGCGCUGUGCCCUCCCUGUCCCCAAGCAGUAGGUUCCACCGAAAUUUCCAAGUUAGGCCACACAUGUCCAUGAAAUCAUAAAAUGAGCUUUGUGUGUGUGUGAUGACCAGUACGGCGACACAGGCUGCUCUGCCUUCUGCAAGUUCAGGGACAAAACUGGUGACUCAGGUGAACCCACGUGGAGAAGGUUGGAGUAGAGAGUAAACGGGAUGGAUAAAUGGAUAAAUGCCAAAGAUAAACAAACCAGAAAUAGGUGAGAGCAAAUAUUUAUUUCAUGUACGUUAACAAGACGAGGAAUCGGAGUGAGCCAGGGGAGACUUCAGUUUGCCAGGGACUCAUCGCUGCGACAAGUGGUCGCAUUUCCGGGCUGGGAGGCAGUGAGGCCUCUCGUGGUGAGAGCAUGCACCUGGGUGCCCGAGACACCUGCAUCCCGGACCUGCCCAUGUCUGUCAUUAGCUGUGUGACCCAGGCAAGUGACUUCAUGGUCCUCAGUUUCCCGUCUGUAAAAUGGGGUGAUAACUGGUGAACUCUUCCGGUUGUGAUGAGGGUUCAGGGACAAUCCCUGGCCCAGCCUAAGGGUUCUAGAAUGCUUUACCGUGGCAAAGCCGAUGGCGGGUCACCAAGGUGGUGGCACCCAGGUUCGAAGAACCCUUGUAGAAGCAUCAUCACCUGGAAGGAGCCUUGCUCUGUAACUAAGAAUGGACCCAGAGCCACAAAAUAGACAUUAGCUGCUGCUCGCGCCUCCUGCAGGGGUGACUCCAGGAGGCUGGAAGGACCUCAGCGCCUCCUUCCUGGGGGCAUGUGCAGGCACGGAGCUGGCCCAGCCCCUUCCUGUCCUGUCUGUGCAAGGUUUCAACACGGGGAGCGUCCUGGGCGUGUUUUCCCUUCGGAAGUCUUAACCCGCUGAGCAGGACUCAGGGAGCCCUGGCUGCAUGUGCUGUCCCAACAAACAGACCAGGCAUAGACACGCUCAGAAAACGGAAGACAGGUGCUGCUUCCUGAUCCCGCAGCCUGGGCCUGAGCCGACAGAAGCGGUCUGGGGGUCAGGAUGGCCUGGGAGCACCUGCCUCCCUCCCUCAGGGCUGUGUGACUCUGGGCAAGUGCCUCCACCUCCCUGGGCCUCCGUUUCCUCGGCCCUGGGCUGGCCUUCGGUCUGUUCUGAGGAGCCCGGAGCUGGCCGGGUGGACACAGAGCCCACGCGAGUGUGCACGGGGCCGGUCUCGGACCACCCCUUCCUCUCCAAUCUGGACAGCGCCGUUUCGUCUCUUUGGUACAUUUGUGUUCUGAGUCAUACUUCACUAAAAAAAGAAAAGAAAGAAAAGAAGAAGAAGAAAAGGAAACGCGUCCACGGUGAAAACAAUACACUCCAGAACUUUCCCGCCAAUUUACUUCGUCCGCUGGCUCAUUCCUUCAAGCUCUAAGGGGGCUGCCCAUUUCCAAACGGUUCUUGGUUUUCGGGACUUGCAUCUCUGUUUCUCUGGCCCCUGCCUCCUGAAGACACCUGAGGCCUCGUGAGAGGUGGAGAAAGGAAGGAGGCUUUGGAUGGGGGCAUCUCAGAGAUUUGGGGGUAUCCUCUGUGAAUGUCAAGGUCACGGGCAAGCUGGCUUCCUCUCUGGAUACGGGCCGUGGGCAUCUCAGAUGCACACCCCUUGGUCCUACUGUGUCCGAGGCAUAUGGGCAUAUGCAUGGUGGCCCGACCACGGUGGCCCGCCAGCCGCUGCUGCCUCUGGGGCUCAGUUUCAUCUGUGCAGUGAGGAGGCUGUAGGCCUGGAUGAGCUCUCAGCCCCUCCCAACUUCAACACCCUGUAAUUGCUGCAUUUAUUGAGCUCCAGCUGUCUGCAGAGUGGUGUCUGAAGUGUGGGAGGGGCGGACCCCAUCCUGGGAGGAGAAGCCAAACUGAGCCUGCGGCCUCUCGCUGGCCCGGGGAUGGCAGGGCUCAGAGUAGCCACCGGUGCCCCAGGAGAAGCCGGUGCCAAGUCCAGCUGCCAGGCUGCCAUUCGAAAUACUUCCUGUUGGUGGCACUUUGGCGUGGUUCAGGUGUCUGGUCUUAGAGUAUAUUGGUUUAUAUAUGAAAAUGUGCUAGUUCCCUCUCUCCGUUAAGGUUCUGUUUGUCACUUGCGUAAAUCUCAGUGCCUAGAGCUGGACUUGACCAUGUCGCUCCCCAAGUAAAACCCUCCCAUGGCUCCUCACUGCCCUUGGAAGACAGUCCAAGCCCAGGCGUGGCCCCAAGGCCUUCUGGGGCCUGACACAGGCCGAGCUCUCCCACCUGGGGACUCCCCACCCUUCACCCUCUCUCCUCCAGACACACAGGUUGGACUGUACCAACCUCUUUCUUCUGCCUAGAGCCUCACGCUUGCUGCGUCCUCCGCCUGGAACACUCUCUCUCCCCGUCUUCUCCUGGCUCACUAAGUGUCAUUUUCUCCAGGAAGCCCUCCCUCCCUAAUUGAGCCACUUUAGUUGACGCUCUGGCUCACCCUGUACUUCUCCUUUGUAGCACUCACAAUGCAAUGAUCUGAAAACGCCUGUUUAUCCGAUUCCCCCCCAACCCCAACGUGAGCUCCACGAGAGACUCCCUGUCGGAUUUUCACGCCGAGUGCCAGGCACGGUGCCCAGCACCCAGGGGCAGCUCUGAAAAUGUCUGCUGAGUGAAUCCACGGCUAGAGACUGUGUGAGCCUGACAUACAGCCUGUUGAUCCAGGAGUGUGGAGUGAAUGGAAAAAGGCCGAACGACUGGUUCUCGAAGGCCUCGUUGCCUUCUUUCCUCCGGUUUCCUUCAAGGAAGGGCCGUCACGGCGCCGAAUGUUAUUCUGAGCUCAGGCACAAAUGGAUUUCUUUCUCCACAAGCACGCGCCUUUUUUUUUUUGAGGGAGCAGCGUUCCCUGAUCCUGCAGAAUGAGCUCCGUCUGCGGACAGAAUUUCCAAGGGACCCGAGGAGGCCUCUGCAGUCAUCCAGACCCGGUUCGAAUCCCAGCUCCACCACCUUCGAGCUUCGUGGCGGUGGCACCUCUUUGUGGACCUCAGCUUCCUCAUUUGGAAACUGGAAGAGAGGGUGGGGGGAGUGGCAGCAGCGGUCUGGCUCUGCCGAGGCUCGGGGUCGCUUGCCUUCCUGGUACCACAGAUGUGUGAUCUGUUUGGGGCUUGUCGAGGUGUCCCCUCCAUCCAGGCCCUGGGCUUUGCCUAAGCAGCCAGGAGAUGACAGGGCUCGGCGGCCCUCAGAGGUGGCGCCUUGGCCACGGGUGGCUGGAGUCAGCAGUGGAGCUCCUGGGACCCCAUGUCUCUGGAGGGUGGGGCAGGUGAUCCGUGUGAGCUAGCGGGGUCCUGUGAGAAUCGAGACCCCAUUUACAGGUAAGGAGGCUCAUGGGAGAUGUGGCUCACCCAAAGGAGGGAUUUUAACCCGGAAACCACACCAAUAACUGCAAGUUUUCCCUCCUACGAUCUGAGCUGCCGCCGUUUACUGAGUGAGUCUUUACUGUGUGCCAGGCGGUGACUGACCUACUUUAAUUCAAUAUGCCUAAGUGGGAGGUAUCCAUUUUUUUCUUCUUCAGGAAACAGAGAGAUUGAUGCACUUGCCCAAGGUCACACAGCUUGCAUUGAGUGGAGCCUGACUUUGAACUCCUGUGCCCUUGGCCAAUCUCCUCUGCAUCUCGCUUGGGAUCCAGGCUCUGUACAGAGGGGCUGGGCCACCUUGGGUGAGUGGCUUAAGCCCCAGAGCCACAAAGCCAGGGGGAAAUCUCCAGCACCCGCUGAGAUGAUGGUGAUAAGUUGUCAGUAUCGCCAGGUUAGGGAAGCAUAGAAGGGCCCAGACUCUUACUCUAGGGCACACAGCAGGCUGAGCCAAGACUCGCCCAGGGAGAUGAUGGCUCCCCUUCCCCUGGCUCUCUGUCGGUGGCUCCAGCAGGCCGUGCGUGGUCGGGAAGGACCGCCACAGCUGACUGGGCUCUGGCGGACAGUAGGACAGAUGAUGGCUGCCCCCUCCCAGGGCCCGCGGGCUUCGCGGCUCCGCCGCCUCCCCCCUGAGCAGGUUGCCUUUAAGAAAGCAGAAGAUUGAUUUCCUGGCCGGCUCUGCGCCGAGGAGCCCGUCCAAAUGGUUUGCAUGUCUGCAUUUUUUACUGCUCCGGUUUAAUAUGUAUGCAAAUACCGGCCGGCUGCGCCCGCGCCGCGCAGUCACACGCGGCGCCCCAUUAAAGCGGCCGUCCGGGCGCGCACCUCAUUCGAGGCGACGGGCUCGGCGGCCUGAUAGAUGGGGUGCGGGGACGGAGACAAAUGACAGGCUUUUGAGACGUGGCAGCUGGGGGGCAGCCUGGAAGGUUGUGUGAAGAUGGGACCAUUUCACAGAGAAAGCUCCCACGCAAAGAGAGGGCCAUUCAGACCAACCGAGGACCCAGAGUUCCACAUUUCUGUGCGUGUGUUCGCGUCAGUGUGUACGCGAAUGUGAGCCUUAGGAGAACCUGGAAAGUGGGGUGCUCAGUAAGUUUCCGAUGUCUGGCCCUCACUGAGAGUGGGGCUCAUUCACCCGGGCCCAACCAGACAGAGACUCCAAGUCCUAAGUCUUCUCUCAACCCACCUACGUCUUCGGACAGUCCACCCUUCCUCCAGGCCGCCCCAGGGUGUCUGUCCCCUUCCCUGGGCCGGACCCAACCACAGUCACAGCACCAACAGUGGUAACAGUGACCCGUCUCCUGUAGUCUAUCUGCUCCACCCCAUCAAGAAAAUUCAUUUUUAGUGGACAUCCCCGUAAAGCCAGCCCUGCCAGCCAUAGGCCCAAAGCCCAGAGAAUAAGGGUGAUGAGCCUGGCGGUGCGGUGGAGCCCUGAGUCUCCCCGAGAAGGAAUUACCAAGUUUGCAGGUUUGCUUGCUCAGCGGUCUCCUCCUGCUGCCAGGAGGGCAGACCCUAGGCUCUGCCACGACCUCCCCAAACCCCCAAACCUGUCGGGCACAUGGUGGUCACUCGGCAAGGAUCUGCUAAAAUAGACAAGCGAGAGGGUGCAGGAAUCGAUGAGACCAUGGGCUGUGGCAAAGCAUCUCCGGGCCUCCUGCCCCGUGGCCCCCUCGGGGUCUGUAUCCUCACUCCCCAGCUGGUUGGGGGGCUGCCGUGUGUGGGCCCGCUGAGUCAGGCCCUACCCUGGGCAAGGGGCCACCACGGCUCUCACGGAUUUUGCUGACGGGGCUGAAAAUGCGUCUGCACCUCCCUCUGCGACCCGCCAUUACUCAUGGUUGGCAUUUAUCCCCAAGCAAGGGGUGACCCGCGGAGCAGCCCGAAGCCUCCCGUGUGUUCUGAAGAAGGGGCGGCUUGAGGCUGGGCUGUGAGGAGGCGCCGCAGGAAUGGCGAGCAGCUGCUCUGAGUGCAGUGACCACAUUUUUCUGAGCUGAAAAAUUAGGACACAGGAUGUAGCUGAGGGUUUUCUCAGAUUUGUUCAUUUAAUGAGUAGGAAAAUCUUACGGAGGUAUGAACGUUACGCGUAUUUUGUUAUGUAGGUAAUGGAUUGUCUUCAUUGAAAAGAAUCUGAGUUUCCAAAACCGGGGAGAUUCUGGAAAUUAAUGAUUCAAUGCGACUAAUAUCUUGGGAGCAUCUGGGUCAACACCGUCCUUGGUGCUUGCACUAUAAUGGGGGACAAUACAGGCGUGAUCCUGGCCUCACGGAGCUCACGUGUGGAGGCUGACAUUCCUCAGGUAAUUUUGCGAGCAGCCCCAGAGGUGCUAUGGGGGAUUUAUAGGGCUGUGAGGACCAAGAGUUCUCAUGCAGACAGGGGGUGGAGAUGUCAAGGGGAACUUUGAAGACAUAAUGUUUGAGGUGAGACAGAGCCUUUUCGGAGUUAACUAGUGAAGGGAUGUGACUGGAGUGAGGAAGCACAUUUCCGGCAGGAUGAAGAGCACGUGCAAAGGGCCUGUGGCAGAAAGGCCGCUGGGUGUGCGAGGGCAAGGAGGGCAGCCCAGGUGACUGGAAUGUGAUGAGUGAGGGGAAGAGGAAGCUGGAGGUGUUAGCAGGGACCAGUCCAGGCAGUGCCCACCCAUCCAUAAGAGUGUGGUGGACUUUCUCCUCUUGGCAACGGGGCCCUAUGGACUGUCUGACAUAGAUGUGACCGGCCCGUACAUCUGGAUGUUGAUGACAAUGAGGACGAUGAUAAUAUUGGUAACUACGGAAGUGUUUACUGAGCGCUCACUAUGUGCCAAUCACCAUUUCAGCCAUUUGAGAGAUGAGGAAAGUGAGGGCUGGGAGGGGAAGUGACUUAUCCUAGGUCACACAGCUGUCAAGUGACAGAAAUGGAGGUCAGGCUGAGCCUGUCUAGCUCCAAAGUCCCUGCUUUUGUCUCACACACAAAUCUGCCCUUGUCUGGACAUGAAAGGUCAAAGGACAUGCAAGUGACCCCCCCCGCCUCCCGUCCCUCUUGCCUUGCUGUGGUUCUGCCUCCUCUCUGCUCUGUGUCUUAGGUCUGGGUGAGGACUCUAGGUCACAGGGUCAGCUGGGGCUGGAAAGGCCCAGCUCAACUCUAGGCCCAGCAGGGGAAGUAGGGGAUGCAACAUUAGAGGCUGAAGUUCUGGAGAAGGUGGGACCCCAGCCAGGGUCGGGGCCUCUACCGCACCCUGCUCAGUGGAGCACAGCUCCAGGAGCACAGCCUGCUCACCUGUUUGGGAGUUGAAGACUUCGAGAUGCAGCUACACUAUCCCCGGGAGAAGGGCAGCACCCCGGCCCCCUGCUUCCUCCCGUGGAAGCAGGUCCGGGUGGUUGCACCACUAUCGACUCACCAAUGGCCUUAAAAAAUCCUUAUUCCUUCCGCGAUCAUCAGGGACAUGCGAAUCAAGAUAGUUCACACCUGUGAGAACGGCUCCUAUCGACGACCAGAGAAGAACAAGUGUUGGCGAGGAUGUAAAACGGUACAGAUGCUGUGGAAAACAGUAUGGCGGUGCCUCAUCGAUUUAAACAGAAUUACCAUACGACCCAGUAAUUCUACUUUGGGUUAUAAACCCAAAAGAAUUGAAAGCAAAGUCUCGGAUAUAUGUACACCAUCACUGCAGCGUUAUUCACAACGGCCAAAAGGUGGAAACAACCCAAGUGUCCAUCGACAGACAAAGAGAUGAACAA